RNAcentral lists this non-coding RNA (206 nucleotides) under Lacticaseibacillus rhamnosus. The record is from RNAcentral. Lineage: Bacteria; Bacillati; Bacillota; Bacilli; Lactobacillales; Lactobacillaceae.
ACAAUAACGUAUGAACACGCGUCAUUUGCCGGUCCCCUUUGCAGCGAGUCAGGAAUAGGUGUGAGCCUGAUAAGUACCGCUGAAUGAUAUCAGUUCGCAGUUGUCUCGCCGAAUAACUAAGCGAGACCGGUUGAUCACCGUUAAGCAAUCACUGAGGGGGACUUGUUCCCUGAAGUUAGGUGGUACCACGUUUGCUCGUCCUAAUA